Molecule: ribosomal RNA, 869 nt
Filed under: uncultured bacterium
Lineage: Bacteria
Description: bacterial SSU rRNA
Rfam family: Bacterial small subunit ribosomal RNA
Source: RNAcentral
GAUGAACGCUGGCUACAGGCUUAACACAUGCAAGUCGAGGGGAAACGACGGGGAAGCUUGCUUCCCCGGGCGUCGACCGGCGCACGGGUGAGUAACGCGUAUCCAACCUGCCUCUGACUGAGGGAUAACCCGUCGAAAGUCGGCCUAAUACCUCAUGGCAUCGUCUGCGGGCAUCCAACGACGAUAAAAGAUUUCAUCGGUCAGGGAUGGGGAUGCGUCUGAUUAGCUUGUUGGCGGGGUAACGGCCCACCAAGGCUACUAUCAGUAGGGGUUCUGAGAGGAAGGUCCCCCUUUUGGAACUGAGACACGGUCCAAACUCCUACGGGAGGCAGCAGUGAGGAAUAUUGGUCAAUGGGCGAGAUCCUGAUCCAUCCUAGUAGCGUGUAGGAUGACGGCCCUAUGGGUUGUAAUCUGCUUUUAUGCUGGGGAUAAAGUGAGGGACGUGUCCUUUUGUUGCUGGUACCGCAUGAAUAAGGACCGUUAUGAUUCCGUGCCAGCAGCCGCGGUAAUACGUAAGGGCCGGGCGUUAUCCGUAUUUAUUGUGGUUAUAGGGAGCGUAUCCGUGUGAUAAUCGUUGUGUGAAAUGCAGGUGCUCAACUGCUGCUGUGCAGCGCGUUCUGUCCACUUAGUGUUGCUGCGCUGUGUAUUCUGCGUGUGCGGUGAUUGCUAUAUAUGUGAAGAACUCCGAUGUGCUAUGCUGCUUGUGUGUGUGCGAUUACGUGUAUCUUGUGAUUGCUUUGAUGUGACAUGAUGAUGACCCGUGUAUCCAAGUGCAUAUCCUCAGUGAUGUGUGGCUGAUGUGUUCUGCUGUUGGUGUGUUGUCGUUGAACUUUGUGUUUUUAUGUUGUUUUGUGGUGAUUAUGUUGUGU